AGUGAACGCUGGCGGUAGGCCUAACACAUGCAAGUCGAACGGCAGCACAGUAAGAUCUUGCUCUUACGGGUGGCGAGUGGCGGACGGGUGAGGUAUACAUCGGACUCUACUUUUUCGUGGGGGUUAACGUAGGGAAACUUACGCUAAUACCGCAUACGACCUUCGGGUGAAAGCAGGGGAUCUUUUCACCUUGUGCGGUUGAACUAGCCGAUGUUGGAUUUGCUAGUUGGCGGGGGAAAUGCCCACCAAGUCGACGAUCCGUAGCUUGUCUGAGUGGAUGAUCAGCCACACUAGAACGGGAACACGGUCCAGACGCCUGCGGGAGGCAGCAGUGGGGAAUAUUGGGCAAUGGUCGCAAGCCUGAUCCAACCAGACCACGUGGGUGAAGAAGGCCUUCGGGUUGUAAAGCCCUUUUGUUGGGAAAAAAAAGCAGCAGGUUAAUACCCCGCUGUUCUGACGGUACCCAAAGAAUAAGCACCGGCUAACUUCGUG
This 492-nucleotide ribosomal RNA is filed under the name uncultured bacterium. RNAcentral describes it as "partial 16S ribosomal RNA". It matches the Rfam family "Bacterial small subunit ribosomal RNA", at positions 29 to 507 of the family's 1533-position model. The record is from RNAcentral.